UGGGAUUCUUGAUCAUAUAUCUUGAAUUUGUCCAGCCAAAUAAUCAAGGGUAAUGGGGUCCAGCUCUUGGCUUGACUUGAGGCAGCGAGGUCGGUGGUGGGGUUUUUGUUUUUGCGCCCAUGAACUGAAGAAGCUCUGCUACCAGAAUUAGUAGAGUGCACAGAAUUAAAAGGGAAUAUGCAGAAGAAAAUUGCGUUCAUUACUGAUCUUCAACAAAGUGGUCCUUUUUAGUGAUCAGCCGCCUCUGCCUAGAGAUUUUGUC
RNAcentral lists this long non-coding RNA (262 nucleotides) under Prunus persica (peach). RNAcentral's name for it is "long non-coding RNA (PPER_LNC008352)". The record is from RNAcentral. Lineage: Eukaryota; Viridiplantae; Streptophyta; Magnoliopsida; Rosales; Rosaceae.